UUAAGUUCAGCGGGUAUCCCUACCUGAUCCGAGGUCAAACACGUGAGAUUGGGGGCGGUUUACGGCUAGAGAUGAUCCGUCCGAGAGCGAAACAUAACGUUGAUUACUACGCUCAUCGGCACGCACGUCCCUGCCAAGGGCUUUCGGAUAGGAAUGGCUCGAGCACACUCCAAUGCCAAUACCAAGUCAUGGAUGAAUCC
This 200-nucleotide unclassified non-coding RNA is filed under the name Pulvinula sp. RNAcentral's name for it is "partial internal transcribed spacer 2". Lineage: Eukaryota; Fungi; Ascomycota; Pezizomycetes; Pezizales; Pulvinulaceae. The record is from RNAcentral.